GAUGAACGCUGGCGGCGUGCCUAAUACAUGCAAGUCGAGCGAACAGAUAAGGAGCUUGCUCCUUUGACGUUAGCGGCGGACGGGUGAGUAACACGUGGGUAACCUACCUAUAAGACUGGAAUAACUCCGGGAAACCGGGGCUAAUGCCGGAUAACAUUUAGAACCGCAUGGUUCUAAAGUGAAAGAUGGUUUUGCUAUCACUUAUAGAUGGACCCGCGCCGUAUUAGCUAGUUGGUAAGGUAACGGCUUACCAAGGCAACGAUACGUAGCCGACCUGAGAGGGGGAUAGGCCACACUGGAACUGAGACACGGUCCAGACUCCUACGGGAGGCAGCAGUAGGGAAUCUUCCGCAAUGGGCGAAAGCCUGACGGAGCAACGCCGCGUGAGUGAUGAAGGUCUUCGGAUCGUAAAACUCUGUUAUUAGGGAAGAACAAAUGUGUAAGUAACUGUGCACGUCUUGACGGUACCUAAUCAGAAAGCCACGGCUAACUACGUG
This 497-nucleotide ribosomal RNA is filed under the name uncultured bacterium. RNAcentral describes it as "partial 16S ribosomal RNA". It matches the Rfam family "Bacterial small subunit ribosomal RNA", at positions 28 to 507 of the family's 1533-position model. The record is from RNAcentral.